Molecule: ribosomal RNA, 253 nt
Filed under: uncultured bacterium
Lineage: Bacteria
Description: partial 16S ribosomal RNA
Rfam family: Bacterial small subunit ribosomal RNA
Source: RNAcentral
UACGUGGGGGGCAAGCGUUGUCCGGAAUCAUUGGGCGUAAAGAGCGUGUAGGCGGUCCGGUAAGUCGGCUGUGAAAGUCCAGGGCUCAACCCUGGGAUGCCGGUCGAUACUGCCGGACUAGAGUUCGGAAGAGGCGAGUGGAAUUCCCGGUGUGGCGGUGAAAUGCGCAGAUAUCGGGAGGAACACCUAUGGCGAAGGCAGCUCGCUGGGACGUUACUGACGCUGAGACGCGAAAGCGUGGGGAGCAAACAGG